Molecule: non-coding RNA, 2719 nt
Organism: Coturnix japonica (Japanese quail)
Lineage: Eukaryota; Metazoa; Chordata; Aves; Galliformes; Phasianidae
Source: RefSeq, a predicted model, not a curated record
AGUUUGCAGGAUGCAAUUUUCCUCAAUAUAAACAUUCUAAUGCAAUUUGAUGCCCAUUGUGUUUUGGUGCAGCAGGCGGGAGCUUUUAUUUUGCAGAUUUAUUUUUAGGACUCUGAGUGCACACGGGGGUAACCUAAGUGGACUGGCUGGCUGCUUAUUCUCAGUGCCAUGAGCCGAGCUUUAGAAGUUCUGACGUGCAAUACAGACCUGGAAGCUGAGGCUCUUUCCUUACGUUGUCCUAAAGUCCCAGCUUCUUUUUGCUCUUUACAGAACAGCAUGGAGAAAUCAUGUAAAAGCUAUGACUGGUGGCAGGGCUCUUGGAAAUCCUCUAGUGAGGUAUGCUUAUUGCUUUGAAGUCACCUGAUAAUCAGGAUGUGAUUAAUACUACAUCAGUGGGAAAGAAAAGCCAGUCAGGAUUUGACUCAGUUCUCAGCACAUGCAGCAGGACAUACCAUACUGAAAGCAUUUGCUGAUCUCCCAGACUUCCAUAACUAGAUGGACUGAGUCCUUUGUCCUUUGCUUCAUAAGUAAUGUCUCUAUCUCUUCCAUCUAGAAACAGAGAUUGGUUGAUGAGCAACAAGAGUCAGUCCUUUCCUAAUUCAAUUUAAUGAUGUUUUGGGAAGAGCUGUGAUCAUACAGCCUAUGUUGCUCCUUCUGAAGCAACUGCUGAAGUUACAACUUAGAUGAAAGCACUGUAAAUUCAAGCAUCUCUGCUCAGGGACUGGAUGUGUCUUGGUGUUAUGGUUUGUAAGGGUAACAAGUAUUGAAGAAAAGAAGGGACGCAUGUACAGCACUGAGGAUUUGGGACCCAGGAGUGGGGAGGUUUGUGCUCUAUUAAAAGCCCAGGGAUGAGACUUUCUGAGCGCAUCUUUGAUGUACAGAGAUAAAAAGACUUCAGGCUGCAUUUAUCUGUGUUGAGAUGUUCCUACAGAAUGCAUUUCCUUGUUUGGUUGCUCGUAUUUUUGCUCAGUCUUUACUGGAUGAAUAUAAGUGAUGCAUUGUUUAGGUGCAGAAAGAGAUAAGAAGAAAAAAGAACAUCUUCUACACUUGUGCAAGGUGUUUCUUGAUCUACCUCAUUUAAAAGUCUACAGGGUUCCUGGGCAGGACCCUCCUACCCCUGAGCACAUCCAGCUCUGUGAUCCUUUGUCUUCUUCCUGAACUCUUCCAUCUUACAAUGAAUUUUUCCUCGCAGUACACCAGACCUGCAAGAAGAAAUCCCUUCCUCCUGUUGAGCAUAUGAGGUGUCAGACAGAGUGAAACCUGGAGAACUGUGAAGCAGUUAGAGAAAAAGCAGGCAGAAUUUCUUGGAUCUGGCCAUGAAGUCAAAGAGAGGACCUGCCUGGAUCUUACAACCACAAAGCCCAGCUCAGCUGCUGGGGUUUGCACUCACCUGGCACACGGCUCAUUCACUUCUGCCAGUGCCCAUCGAUGCAAGGAUUACUUGCCCCAGAGUUGCUUCACUUGCUGCAAAUCCAAUGCAAGCCAAAGCAGUAGAACCGUGAGCUGCAGAAAUGGUUUUUCAUGGUUAAUUUCCACUAUGAAAGGGUGGAAGCAGCUGUAGGAAAUUCUGCAACCGGAAUUAAGGAAAUGGACUCCAGGCUCUGAAGGGGCAGGACGUGAUGUGACAGUGGGAGGUUUUGCAUGGUGAUGGAGAUUGCUUUAAUGUUGAGAAAUUUGAGCUAUUUCAGACAAAGCCUCAGGGAAUGGAUCCUGGUUCUGGAGGCUGUCAGUUGUGACAGGGAAGAUCAUCAACCCCGUUCCCAGCAGUUACCAGGUUGUGAGCAGAUAGAUGUUAUCUGGGGCCAUGUGAUUUAAAGAGAUGGACAGCUUGGUGUACCUGGCCUAUCCCUGAAUAUAAGAAAGCAAAAUAGCACCUGGGAACUGUUAUUGCCCACUGAUCUGCCCUGUGGUGCCCAGGAAGAUGUCUGCCCUUCACUGGCCCCAUCUUUGGUCUGAGGAACCCUGGUGUACUUCUGUCAGUUCAACAGCCCAAGGGAAUGGAGGUGCUGGUCCCAAAGGGGUUUGGUGUUGUGCUGUGGAUCUGGGAGGCUGCAACAGCAACUGUUGGCUGCAAAUCAGUACUGGGCUGAGUCUUGCUUCACCUUGUCCUCUAACAAGGCCUGAAGAAAUGAAACCAUUAAUGACACUUGCCCGGUUAGAUGCUCUUCUGGUUGCAAAAUGAAUCUUUCUGAAAUUUCUCCCACCCAGGUACCAAGGAGGCUUUCGUAUUUUAACCUUGAACACUUUCACGAGGUUUACCAGGAAGAGGAGCAGUGUGGGUUCUGGCUCUCCCAUUAGCUCACAGACUCCAAUUGUUCUCUAUCUGGAUGCAGCCUGGACCACAGAGCCACUGAGAUCAGGAGGUGUGGAAGGAUUAAAGGACUUGACAGAGAGAUCUGCUGCAGGGCUGAUUCCCUAUUCCUGCUGGAGACAUUUCUUAGUGUACUGCAUCACGCGGGGUCCUGAUCUCUCUGGGCCUCAGCUUUUAACUCAGUAAGUGUCUUUGCUAUUCAAACAUUAAUUAGAGAUGAUGGUUUUUGCUAAAAUAUUGUAAAGCUGAUAAAAAACAUCUUUCACCCUGGAAUAAGCUUUUUCAGAUCACCUACAUGUGUUGCACAUAACAGGUAGUGUCUGUGGGCUUGGAACGGUGGGCGACGGGGUCACCCUGAUAUCUCUGUGCCCCAUCAAUGGGAUUUCUGUGCUGUGUGCUCUCUGAAGG